CCAAUAGCGUAUAUUAAAGUUGUUGCAGUUAAAAAGCUCGUAGUUGAAUUUCGGGAUCAAUAUGUUGGUCGUGCCUUGGUACGUACUGGCAUUAUUGGUUUCUACCUUCUGACGAACCUCGAUGUCAUUAAUUUGGUGUCUUGGGGAAUCAGGACUGUUACUUUGAAAAAAUUAGAGUGUUUAAAGCAGGCUCGCGCUUGAAUACAUUAGCAUGGAAUAAUGAAAUAGGACGUUUGAUUCUAUUUUGUUGGUUUCUAGGAUCGACGUAAUGAUUAAUAGGGAUAGUUGGGGGCAUUAGUAUUCAAUUGUCAGAGGUGAAAUUCUUGGAUUUAUUGAAGACUAACUACUGCGAAAGCAUUUGCCAAGGAUGUUUUCAUUAAUCAAGAACGAAAGUUAGGGGAUCGAAGACGAUCAGAUACCGUCGUAGUCUUAACCAUAAACUAUGCCGACUAGGGAUCGGAUGAUGUUAAUUUUUUAAUGACUCAUUCGGCGCCUUACG
RNAcentral lists this ribosomal RNA (499 nucleotides) under uncultured Glomeromycotina. RNAcentral's name for it is "partial small subunit ribosomal RNA". It matches the Rfam family "Eukaryotic small subunit ribosomal RNA", at positions 591 to 1092 of the family's 1831-position model. Lineage: Eukaryota; Fungi; Glomeromycota. The record is from RNAcentral.